This 613-nucleotide ribosomal RNA is filed under the name Tricholoma matsutake. RNAcentral's name for it is "eukaryotic LSU rRNA". It matches the Rfam family "Eukaryotic large subunit ribosomal RNA", at positions 48 to 656 of the family's 3401-position model. Lineage: Eukaryota; Fungi; Basidiomycota; Agaricomycetes; Agaricales; Tricholomataceae. The record is from RNAcentral.
UAGCGGAGGAAAAGAAACUAACAAGGAUUCCCCUAGUAACGGCGAGUGAAGCGGGAAGAGCUCAAAUUUGAAAUCUGGCACUUUCAGUGUCCGAGUUGUAAUCUCGAGAAGUGUUUUCCGCGCUGGACCGCAUAUAAGUCUGUUGGAAUACAGCGUCAUAGUGGUGAGAACCCCGUAAAUGAUGCGGACGCCCAGUGCUUUGUGAUACACUUUCGAAGAGUCGAGUUGUUUGGGAAUGCAGCUCAAAUUGGGUGGUAAAUUCCAUCUAAAGCUAAAUAUUGGCGAGAGACCGAUAGCGAACAAGUACCGUGAGGGAAAGAUGAAAAGCACUUUGGAAAGAGAGUUAACAGUACGUGAAAUUGUUGGAAGGGAAACGCUUGAAGUCAGACUUGCUGUUUGGAAUUCAGCCGCAAGGUGUACUUUUCAGAUAUGCAGGCCAGCAUCAGUUUUUGGGGGUGAAAAAGGGUAUUGAGAAGGUAGCAGUUUCGGCUGUGUUAUAGCUCUUUACUGGAUUCAUCCUUGGGGACUGAGGAACGCAGCUCACUUUUUGCACGACCCUCGGGUUGUUCUGAGCUUAGGAUGCUGGUGGAAUGCUUUUAAACGACCCGUCUUA